AGUAUCGUGUGGGGCCAAUCCAGUUACUUUGAUGUUGUAAAGUUCGAGCUGCUAAUAGUUCCGAUGCUU
Molecule: transfer RNA, 69 nt
Filed under: Perna perna
Lineage: Eukaryota; Metazoa; Mollusca; Bivalvia; Mytilida; Mytilidae
Description: tRNA-Ile
Source: RNAcentral